CUGGGUAAUGGAUUUUUUUGGUGUUGGUGUUUAAUUUGAUUCCAAAGAAGGUUGCAAGUAAUAUUCUGAGAUGAAGGAUUCGUCAUAGUUAAGAAAGGAAGCAAUUAGAACAGGAAAGUACCGCAGAAGCCUUUUCCAGGUCAGUAUGAAUAGCAACAGCAUUUCAGAGAGAGUGCUAACACAUCAUGCGGGGGAGAGACUGGGAGGCGGCAAAGAAUGCUACUGAGCUUGGAUUUUUGCAGCUAAAUGAAAAGUCUGGGCCAGGGAGAUGGAGGGCAGAUGGAGAGAUGCCAAAGAGAGGGCCGCUCUGUCUUUGAAGUGCAUUUUCAAAGGCUAGAAACCAAAUUUGAACUUGAUGCCUACCAGAUGUAAAAUGAAUGCAUCAAUACUAAAGCCAAGGAAACAGACGAAAACCGCACAGGUCCUGAUAGACAGCAUCCUGAACUGGUCUCACUGUCAACAGGUGACCCUCAGGUGACUACCCCAAGGCUGAAAUGGUAAAGGACAGCCUCCCCCAAUUUGUGCUACAUUAUGCAGGACUGAAAUAUAAAACGUUCACAUGGUGCCAGAGCACCAACAGGACUGUGGAUGGGAGCACUGCUUAAGUCAGAAGCCCUUUGCAGACGUGUCAAAAGAGAAGCCUGACACUGUCAGCCCGACUCCCCUCAACUCCGAGCUGCUGUGUACAGUUUUGCAGGACUCCUGUAACUUCUAGUGAAGAUGGAGACAGAUAUAGAGAGAAGCGGAAACAUGUGAUGACGCCUAAUGCUUCCUAAUGCUCCAUGACAAGCAGUUGUCAUUAAUGGGUGCAUACUGCUCCCACAGACUGUCACACAUGAGUAAGGCAUGGAAUCCUUUCUUGGAGAGGGAAGGAAAAUUGAAAAUCUGGCAGCCUGGUUGAGCAUUCCCUCAUGGAAACAUUGCUGUUGGUGAGAGCCGCUGCACCCUAGUGAAGAUGAGCUCCCAUCUACCACAGCCUUGCUCCCUUUGCCUCACAAACCACCCACGUCCUCACUGACAGGCCCCAUGACCUAUGCAGACAUUUCAGCCUUUGCAGCUACCCAGACAGACUGCACUUCGGAGUAACAUUUAAGAUCUUUCUAACUUUUCAUUGUUAUAUAAAUUUUCCUUCAUAUGUCAACAUCUCUGAAUGUGUGUUCAGAUGCAUUUAAUUACAGAGAGGCCAGUAGAUACAGCCCACAUUUCACUAAAAGUGUUAGAAUGUCUCUUCAACAAUGCAUAGGCAUGGUUAUUCCUCAAAUACAGCCAGCAAUGGAGAGGACAAACUUACUGUGUCUUUUUCUAACGGGUCACUGAUGGAUCUCCACUGUCGUCAUCUUUAAGUAAGUAGCAGCACCGAGCAGACGCUCAUACCUACCUAGGCGUUUCUGGGUUCUUUCUAAGGCACAUAUGCCCAUAAAUGACAAGCCUAUCCACUUCCAUUGCUUAGUUUCUUAGUGUCACACGUUUGACAAAUUAAUCAGGACUCUUUCUGCUGGGGAUAUUGACUCUGUUAUAUUAAUAAACUCUACAGUUUGCCAAAUAUAGACUGUAUCUGUCAGUGUGACAGUCACCAGCACUGGUCUUUUACUUUGUGAAUAUUCCUAAUGGAAAGUCCUAAAUGGAAAAAAAAUAUUUACUCACAUUGUUUUGUGCCUGUGUGCCCAUUCACGAAGGCACAGGUGCUUGCAGAGGCCAGAGGACAAGCUUGGGUAUUGUUCCUCAGGAACUGUCCAUUGUAUGUUUUGUUUAUUUUGAAAUGUAGUUUUAUAAUUACAUUUUGCCCUUUCUUGCUUCUUGAGACAGGAUUUCUUGAUGGCUUGGAGCUUGCUGAUUGGUCUGGGCUGACUGGCCCCUGGGCCCCAGGAUCUGCUGACUCCGCUUUCUCAGAGUUUGGAGUCUAAGUGCCACCACCACAUCUGACUUGAUUAUGUGGGUUCUAGACACUGGACUCAGGUCCCUGUGAGCACUUUAUUUACUGAAUCAUCUUUACAGUUUAUUUUAUCUUGAUGUAGUAUGCAUAUGCAUAUCUUUUUAUAAUGUACUAUUUGAGCCAUUCAGAACUUAAUUUAAACUGUGAUUUCAAGUGGUAUUUUUUGAACAUCAUUUAGCCAACGGUCUUCAUACUAUUUUGGAACAGUCAUCCUUAGCCCAUUUAUUUAUAGCCUUUAUUAUUGCACUAAAUUACCAUAAUUAUUUGUGCCUAUUUCUGUACUCUUUACUGAUUAAUUUGCUCUGACUUCAUGUUGUUUUAAUUGCUAUAGUUUUAUGGAUUAAUAUCUAGAACAACUAUUCUUUUCCCAAUAUUUUCCCAUGAUGUUCUUCCAAAACUUUAAUAGACAUUUUUAUAUUUUAUUUUUUUAAAUGAACAGACAGCCAAUCUUUCAAGGCAUCCUUCCUGCGCCGGCUUUCCUAGGUUUUACAUUGCAGUCAUACUUGUUUCAGAAAAGGCUGGCUCCUUUAUGCUGUGAAGCAGUUUAAUUAGCAUAGGGAAUUUUGUUUCUUCAAGGUUUAAGAGAAUUCAUCUGAAAAACCAGGGGCGCUUUUGGGUAGUAUGUCUAAAUGGCUUCUUAAAGUUUUCUUGCGAUCAUUGGUCAGUUUAAGGCUUCCAGUCGUAGGCCAUGACUUCAUUAUUUAAAAGAAACACUAUACGCUGCAUUACAAUAUGUAAUCUACAGUUAGGAAGACAGCACACAUUGAACCCACAUGAGAUAAUUUUUAAAAUAUCCAUUUUCUGAAUGCUUUAGAGGAAAUAUAGGAAAGGGGUUUGAUGGCAAUGACUGUUGGUGGUGGCAGUGUUUACAACCAUCCGUUCUGCCUUCCUACACACAUCCUCUGGAAUGUUUCCAUUCCCCAUUUGACCCACAUCUUUUCAGACUCCAUUCAGUCCUCAGCUCCUCUCUGCAGGCCUCUCUGUUCUUCUGCACACCAGUGCAGGAUGCAGCAGGACACUGAUCAUAAACCAGGUGUUCUUAUACUACUGUGAUGAUUUUUCUCAGUGUCUGUGCCCUUCACACGUCUGAACACAGAGUUUGAGUUUUACUCAUCUUCAUCUUCCUGUAUGUAGUAGUUUAGAUGUUCAGUAAGAGUUACUGAAUGCACAGAGCAAGGCCAUGGCCUUCCUGGAAGGGGGGAAAGAAGCAGGCAGAAAAACUACUUUUUGGUGGAAUUCCUUAGAUGGAGGAGCCAGGCAAGGGAAGCAGGAAGUGGCUUUAGGUUCUUUUGGACCUUCCACAGAACUGGAAGCAAAGUGUUCACAGCAGAGAAGCAGAAUGAGCACUCAUCAUGUACACUGGCCGCUGGACCCCUCACCUGGGAUGAGCACUCAUCAUGCGCACUGGCCGCUGGACGGGCAGGCAGGGAUGCACAGCCCUAGAGAACACCGAACUGCAUCACACAGCUCUGGGUUUUCACUGAUGUCCCAUGGGAUAGGGAGAAGUGUCCCCUCAGUAUCCACUAGGAUGCUGUGCCGCCUCUUUACUCUGUGAUCAUGCA
Peromyscus californicus insignis is the source of this 3495-nucleotide long non-coding RNA. RefSeq lists it as uncharacterized. The transcript is spliced from 3 exons. The record is from RefSeq and is a predicted model, not a curated record. Lineage: Eukaryota; Metazoa; Chordata; Mammalia; Rodentia; Cricetidae.